GGGGGAUUAGCUCAGCUGGCUAGAGCGCCUGCCUUGCACGCAGGAGGUCAUCGGUUCGACUCCGAUNNNNNGGUCAUCGGUUCGACUCCGAUAUUCUCCA
Molecule: transfer RNA, 100 nt
Filed under: Flavobacterium lacisediminis
Lineage: Bacteria; Pseudomonadati; Bacteroidota; Flavobacteriia; Flavobacteriales; Flavobacteriaceae
Description: tRNA-Ala
Rfam family: tRNA
About the family: Transfer RNA (tRNA) molecules are approximately 80 nucleotides in length. Their secondary structure includes four short double-helical elements and three loops (D, anti-codon, and T loops).
Source: RNAcentral